GAUGAACGCUGGCGGCGUGCUUAACACAUGCAAGUCGAACGGUGAAGGCGGAGCUUGCUCUGCUGGAUCAGUGGCGAACGGGUGAGUAACACGUGAGCAAUCUGCCCCUGACUCUGGGAUAAGCGCUGGAAACGGCGUCUAAUACUGGAUACGAGCUGCGAAGGCAUCUUCAGCAGCUGGAAAGAACUUCGGUCAGGGAUGAGCUCGCGGCCUAUCAGCUUGUUGGUGAGGUAACGGCUCACCAAGGCGUCGACGGGUAGCCGGCCUGAGGGGGUGACCGGCCACCGGGGGACGGGGACAGGGCCCAGGCCCCUGCGGGGGGGGGGAGGGGGGAAUUUUGAAAAAGGGAGGAAAGCCGGAUGCAGAAACGCCGGGGGGGGGAGGACGGCUUUGGGGUGGAAAACCGUUUUUGGCGGGGAAGAAGCGAAAGGGACGGUACCGGCAGAAAAAGGGCCGGAUAACUACGG
Molecule: ribosomal RNA, 467 nt
Filed under: uncultured bacterium
Lineage: Bacteria
Description: partial 16S ribosomal RNA
Rfam family: Bacterial small subunit ribosomal RNA
Source: RNAcentral